UUUUUGUGGUGUUUGAUAUGCGUAAUUAGUUGGUGUUUGUUGUGUUUGUGUGUGGUAGUUUGGUUGUUGGUAUGAGGUGUGUUGUGUUUGGAUUUGAUAGUUUAGUUAAUGGUAUUGGGUGUACUGUGUUUGUUGUUGGAAGGGUUGUGUAUAUUGAGUUUGUGGUUCAUAUUGGGUGGAAGUCGACGUUUGAGUAUAAUGUUGGUUGGGAGGGAUUUGUGUUUGGGGGUUUGUUAAUUGUGGUCGUGGUGGAGUCGACAUCUGUGAUGCGGAACAGUGCUGACGGGGCUCAAUAAAUAGUUGUUCUAUUGACGUGUAUUGUAAUGGAAGAU
RNAcentral lists this long non-coding RNA (332 nucleotides) under Lathyrus oleraceus (garden pea). Its description in RNAcentral is "Pisum sativum (pea) long non-coding RNA (PSAT_LNC027028)". The record is from RNAcentral. Lineage: Eukaryota; Viridiplantae; Streptophyta; Magnoliopsida; Fabales; Fabaceae.